RNAcentral lists this ribosomal RNA (403 nucleotides) under uncultured bacterium. Its description in RNAcentral is "partial 16S ribosomal RNA". It matches the Rfam family "Bacterial small subunit ribosomal RNA", at positions 28 to 526 of the family's 1533-position model. The record is from RNAcentral.
GACGAACGCUGGCGGCGUGCCUAAUACAUGCAAGUCGAACGCAGUGGGGACGGGUGAGUAACACGUGGGUAACCUCCCAUCAGAGGGGAUAACACUUGGAAACAGGUGCUAAACCGAUACUGAUGGAUGGACCCGCGGUGCAUUAGCUAGUUGGUGAGGUAACGGCUCACCUAGGCGACGAUGCCUAGCUGGUCUGAGAGGAGGACCGGCCACACUGGGACUGAGACACGGCCCAGACUCCUACGGGAGGCAGCAGUGGGGAAUAUUGGGCAAUGGGCGAAAGCCUGAUGCAGCAAUGCCGCGUGUGUGAAGAAGGUCUUCGGAUUGUAAAGUACUGUCGGCGGGGAAGCGUUAUCCAAAGAGGAAGCACCGGCUAACUCCGUGCCAGCAGCCGCGGUAAUUC